AGGAAACCUAUAUUUGAGGGAGAAAGGAUGAGUGAAGAUCAAUAAUUACAACUGGCUUCAUUGGAAUAUUUAUUCUACUUGGAAAAUUAUUUAUUUUUAACGAUUUAUUUUUAGCUGAUACUUAUUCUCAGGAUUUUGAGUCCUUCAAAAAUAAAAGAAAUGAAGUUCAUGAGUUUUUGUAGCAUCCAUUCUGCUGAAAACCCCAAGUGAAUUCUAGGCAGAAGGAUUGCAUGGCUCAGCAUACUCCUUUGUUCUCUAGCCAGGGAGACAGUAAGCAAGAAUGGUGUCAUAUCAAGAAUGUCCCAAGUGGAUUAUUCAAUAAGCUGGAGACACAGCAACACUUCAUAAAUUCUGGAUUGGAGGAUUUAACCAUUUCUGAAUUGCAAAGAGAAACAUAGGAAAAAAACACUAUGAACUUCAAAAACAAUUUGCAGAUUAGGACUAAACACUGUGAGCCUUGGUACUUCAGGAAAGAUGAUGAGCUUUUCUUACCGUACAGAGGGAAAAAGAGACAUACAGUGUCUUAGAAAGCAUGCUAAAAGUUAAAGCUAGGUUGUUGAAAACCAUUAUUCUUUACUCACUGUCAUUUGGGUUAGUUGUGCCUUUUUGUCCUGAAACCUGUGUAAAUAAAUAAACCAUUAUUAUUAUUAUUAUUAUUAUU
RNAcentral lists this long non-coding RNA (661 nucleotides) under Anas platyrhynchos platyrhynchos (common mallard). Its description in RNAcentral is "lncRNA (ENSAPLG00000029361.1)". The record is from RNAcentral. Lineage: Eukaryota; Metazoa; Chordata; Aves; Anseriformes; Anatidae.